GUACACUCCUACGGGAGGCAGCAGUGGGGAAUAUUGGACAAUGGGCGCAAGCCUGAUCCAGCCAUGCCGCGUGAGUGAUGAAGGCCCUAGGGUUGUAAAGCUCUUUCACCGGUGAAGAUAAUGACGGUCACCGGAGAAGAAGCCCCGGCUAACUUCGUGCCAGCAGCCGCGGUAAUACGAAGGGGGCUAGCGUUGUUCGGAUUUACUGGGCGUAAAGCGCACGUAGGCGGACUAUUAAGUCAGGGGUGAAAUCCCGGGGCUCAACCCCGGAACUGCCUUUGAUACUGGUGGUCUUGAGUUCGAGAGAGGUGAGUGGAAUUCCGAGUGUAGAGGUGAAAUUCGUAGAUAUUCGGAGGAACACCAGUGGCGAAGGCGGCUCACUGGCUCGAUACUGACGCUGAGGUGCGAAAGCGUGGGGAGCAAACAGGAUUAGAAACCCGAGUAGUCC
This 448-nucleotide ribosomal RNA is filed under the name uncultured organism. RNAcentral's name for it is "partial 16S ribosomal RNA". It matches the Rfam family "Bacterial small subunit ribosomal RNA", at positions 331 to 796 of the family's 1533-position model. The record is from RNAcentral.